AGCAGCUACAUGCAGAAGCAAUGGCAAAUGAUCCCUGCAGAUAAUUUAUGGUCCGUUUGGUGAGCUUCAAGGCAAUUUACCCUCCAGAAGCCCAGCCACAUCCAGCAGACAUCAUUGGCUCCCUGGUCUCCUGCAUUCACAGCAUCAUCUUUCCUGACCUUUCCUGCUCUCUUCCAACAGUUCAUCUUUGUGAUUAAGUGCUGAUCUAGCUCCCAGUUGCUGAAGACAGAAACCCUGAAGACAAAAAGCUGUUAAUGAAGAAAUUAGCUCUACAAUUGAUCCUAGAGCCAUGCUUAAUUGCACACGAUAGCUCUGUCUAUUGAACUGCCACAGUUGCUUAGUAAUUAAUAGCAUCUUCAUAUCACAGGCUAUAAAACACCCUGUGGAUUUCUGCACUGCAUUCCCAUUUUGUCUUGCUGUAUCACUAACAUCAUACCAUCCCUCUGGAAGGAGGUUGUGAGAUUAAACCUGUACAUAGCCACUGUAUCUUUUCCAGAAGAAUGUAAUAGUAGCCAAAGAAUCCACCUUUUGUGUACUGUUUGUCAGAGGGACAACAUGAAAGCAGAACACACCUCCUUGCCACUUGCCCUUUAACCCCUCCUAAUGAACCUUUCAUAUGCUAAUAAUGCUAAGGACCUAAAUAAAGAAAACAAAUUUAUAAAGGGUUGAAACCUA
This 675-nucleotide long non-coding RNA is filed under the name Coturnix japonica (Japanese quail). RNAcentral's name for it is "lncRNA (ENSCJPG00005008854.1)". The record is from RNAcentral. Lineage: Eukaryota; Metazoa; Chordata; Aves; Galliformes; Phasianidae.